CCUACGGGUGGCAGCAGUGAGGAAUAUUGGUCAAUGGCCGGAAGGCUGAACCAGCCAUGCCGCGUGAAGGUCAGUGCCCUAUGGGCGUUAAACUUCUUUUGUGCGGGAGCAAUAAUGGUCACGUGUGGCCAGACGAGAGUACCGUACGAAUAAGCAUCGGCUAACACCGUGCCAGCAGCCGCGGUUAUACGGGGGAUGCCAGCGUUAUCCGGAGUUAUUGGGUUUAAAGGGUGCGUAUGCUGUGAGGUAAGUCAGCGGGGAAAUGCCCCGGCUCAACGGGGUGAAGUGCCAUUGAUACUGGCUGGCUGGAAUGCGGAUGCCGUAGGAGGAAUGUGUGGUGUAGCGGUGAAAUGCAUAGAUAUCACACAGAACACCGAUUGCGAAGGCAUCUCACGAAUCCGCGAUUGACGCUGAUGCACGAAGGCGUGGGUAUCAAACAGGAUUAGAUACCCCUGUAGUC
This 460-nucleotide ribosomal RNA is filed under the name uncultured bacterium. RNAcentral describes it as "partial 16S ribosomal RNA". It matches the Rfam family "Bacterial small subunit ribosomal RNA", at positions 338 to 795 of the family's 1533-position model. The record is from RNAcentral.